Molecule: ribosomal RNA, 442 nt
Filed under: uncultured Desulfobulbus sp.
Lineage: Bacteria; Pseudomonadati; Thermodesulfobacteriota; Desulfobulbia; Desulfobulbales; Desulfobulbaceae
Description: bacterial SSU rRNA
Rfam family: Bacterial small subunit ribosomal RNA
Source: RNAcentral
GUGGUUUAAUUCGAUGCAACGCGAAGAACUUACCUGGUCUUGACAUCCCGGAGACCCUUAGGAACAGGGGUGCUUCCAUCUGGAGAAUCUGGAGACAGGUGCUGCAUGGCUGUCGUCAGCUCGUGUCGUGAGAUGUUGGGUUAAGUCCCGCAACGAGCGCAACCCUUGCCUUUAGUUGCCAGCAGUUCGGCUGGGCACUCUAAAGGGACUGCCGGUGUUAAACCGGAGGAAGGUGGGGAUGACGUCAAGUCCUCAUGGCCUUUAUGACCAGGGCUACACACGUACUACAAUGGCCGAUACAAAGGGCAGCGACACUGCGAGGUGAAGCCAAUCCCGUAAAAUCGGUCUCAGUCCGGAUUGGAGUCUGCAACUCGACUCCAUGAAGUUGGAAUCGCUAGUAAUCGUGGAUCAGCAUGCCACGGUGAAUACGUUCCCGGGCCUU